Molecule: long non-coding RNA, 1264 nt
Filed under: Salmo salar (Atlantic salmon)
Lineage: Eukaryota; Metazoa; Chordata; Actinopteri; Salmoniformes; Salmonidae
Description: lncRNA (ENSSSAG00000107773.1, ENSSSAG00000118831.1)
Source: RNAcentral
UGGUGGUGAAGAUGAGGCUGGGUCUAGUCAGGUUAUAGAUGGUGGUGGUGUAGAUGAGGCUGGGUCUAGUCAGGUUAUAGAUGGUGGUGGUGUAGAUGAGGCUGGGUCUAGUCAGGUUAUAGAUGGUGGUGUAGAUGAGGCUGGGUCGAGUCAGGUUAUAGAUGGUGGUGUAGAUGAGGCUGGGUCUAGUCAGGCUAUAGAUGGUGGUGUAGACGAGGCUGGGUCUAGUCAGGUUAUAGAUGGUGGUGGUGUAGAUGAGGCUGGGUCUAGUCAGGUUAUAGAUGGUGGUGGUGUAGAUGAGGCUGGGUCUAGUCAGGUUAUAGAUAGUGGUGUAGAUGAGGCUGGGUCGAGUCAGGUUAUAGAUGGUGGUGUAGAUGAGGCUGGGUCUAGUCAGGCUAUAGAUGGUGGUGUAGAUGAGGCUGGGUCUAGUCAGGUUAUAGAUGGUGGUGUUGAUGAGGCUGGGUCUAGUCAGGUUAUAGAUGGUGGUGUAGAUGAGGCUGGGCCUAGUCAGGUUAUAGAUGGUGGUGGUGUAGAUGAUGCUGGGUCUAGUCAGGUUAUAGAUGGUGGUGUAGAUGAGGCUGGGUCUAGUCAGGUUAUAGAUGGUGGUGGUGUAGAUGAGGCUGGGUCUAGUCAGGUUAUAGAUGGUGGUGUAGAUGAGGCUGGGUCUAGUCAGGUUAUAGAUGGUGGUGUAGAUGAGGCUGGGUCUAGUCAGGUUAUAGAUGGUGGUGGUGUAGAUGAGGCUGGGUCUAGUCAGGUUAUAGAUGGUGGUGGUGUAGAUGAGGCUGGGUCUAGUCAGGCUAUAGAUGGUGGUGUAGAUGAGGCUGGGUCUAGUCAGGUUAUAGGUGGUGGUGUAGAUGAGGCUGGGUCUAGUCAGGUUAUAGAUGGUGGAGUAGAUGAGGCUGGGUCUAGUCAGGUUAUAUAUGGUGGUGGUGUAGAUGAGGCUGGGUCUAGUCAGGUUAUAGAUGGUGGUGGUGUAGAUGAGGCUGGGUCUAGUCAGGUUAUAGAUGGUGGUGUAGAUGAGGCUGGGUCUAGUCAGGUUAUAGAUGGUUGUGUAGAUGAGGCUGGGUCUAGUCAGGCUAUAGAUGGUGGUGGUGUAGAUGAGGCUGGGUCUAGUCAGGUUAUAGGUGGUGGUGUAGAUGAGGCUGGGUCUAGUCAGGUUAUAGAUGGUGGUGUAGAUGAGGCUGGGUCUAGUCAGGUUAUAGAUGGUGGUGUAGAUGAGGCUGGGUCUAGUCAGGUUAUAGAUGGUGGUGUAGAUGAGGCUGGG